UUCGAAAAAAAUUUAUUUACAGAAGAGGCUCGAAUGGAAUUCGCUUACAGUAGAUAUCCAGAGUAGACCACCUGCAGUAGGAGUUCGGUUCUCGCAAGAGCUCGGUUGGAAUUUGGAAGGUGGUCGACCACCGUAAAAAUUUGGAUGGAGUCUGGUUACUGUAGAAAUCUCAUUGUCGGAGAAACUCGGAUAUUGAUGAAGUCUGGAAGA
Molecule: long non-coding RNA, 210 nt
Filed under: Elaeis guineensis (African oil palm)
Lineage: Eukaryota; Viridiplantae; Streptophyta; Magnoliopsida; Arecales; Arecaceae
Description: long non-coding RNA (EGUI_LNC050613)
Source: RNAcentral